RNAcentral lists this ribosomal RNA (2934 nucleotides) under Escherichia coli. RNAcentral describes it as "bacterial LSU rRNA". It matches the Rfam family "Bacterial large subunit ribosomal RNA". The record is from RNAcentral. Lineage: Bacteria; Pseudomonadati; Pseudomonadota; Gammaproteobacteria; Enterobacterales; Enterobacteriaceae.
GGGUUGUGAGGUUAAGCGACUAAGCGUACACGGUGGAUGCCCUGGCAGUCAGAGGCGAUGAAGGACGUGCUAAUCUGCGAUAAGCGUCGGUGAGGUGAUAUGAACCGUUAUAACCGGCGAUUUCCGAAUGGGGAAACCCAGUGUGAUUCGUCACACUAUCAUUAACUGAAUCCAUAGGUUAAUGAGGCGAACCGGGGGAACUGAAACAUCUAAGUACCCCGAGGAAAAGAAAUCAACCGAGAUUCCCCCAGUAGCGGCGAGCGAACGGGGAGCAGCCCAGAGCCUGAAUCAGUGUGUGUGUUAGUGGAAGCGUCUGGAAAGGCGCGCGAUACAGGGUGACAGCCCCGUACACAAAAAUGCACAUGCUGUGAGCUCGAUGAGUAGGGCGGGACACGUGGUAUCCUGUCUGAAUAUGGGGGGACCAUCCUCCAAGGCUAAAUACUCCUGACUGACCGAUAGUGAACCAGUACCGUGAGGGAAAGGCGAAAAGAACCCCGGCGAGGGGAGUGAAAAAGAACCUGAAACCGUGUACGUACAAGCAGUGGGAGCACAGAGCAAUCUGUGUUACUGCGUACCUUUUGUAUAAUGGGUCAGCGACUUAUAUUCUGUAGCAAGGUUAACCGAAUAGGGGAGCCGAAGGGAAACCGAGUCUUAACUGGGCGUUAAGUUGCAGGGUAUAGACCCGAAACCCGGUGAUCUAGCCAUGGGCAGGUUGAAGGUUGGGUAACACUAACUGGAGGACCGAACCGACUAAUGUUGAAAAAUUAGCGGAUGACUUGUGGCUGGGGGUGAAAGGCCAAUCAAACCGGGAGAUAGCUGGUUCUCCCCGAAAGCUAUUUAGGUAGCGCCUCGUGAAUUCAUCUCCGGGGGUAGAGCACUGUUUCGGCAAGGGGGUCAUCCCGACUUACCAACCCGAUGCAAACUGCGAAUACCGGAGAAUGUUAUCACGGGAGACACACGGCGGGUGCUAACGUCCGUCGUGAAGAGGGAAACAACCCAGACCGCCAGCUAAGGUCCCAAAGUCAUGGUUAAGUGGGAAACGAUGUGGGAAGGCCCAGACAGCCAGGAUGUUGGCUUAGAAGCAGCCAUCAUUUAAAGAAAGCGUAAUAGCUCACUGGUCGAGUCGGCCUGCGCGGAAGAUGUAACGGGGCUAAACCAUGCACCGAAGCUGCGGCAGCGACGCUUAUGCGUUGUUGGGUAGGGGAGCGUUCUGUAAGCCUGUGAAGGUGUGCUGUGAGGCAUGCUGGAGGUAUCAGAAGUGCGAAUGCUGACAUAAGUAACGAUAAAGCGGGUGAAAAGCCCGCUCGCCGGAAGACCAAGGGUUCCUGUCCAACGUUAAUCGGGGCAGGGUGAGUCGACCCCUAAGGCGAGGCCGAAAGGCGUAGUCGAUGGGAAACAGGUUAAUAUUCCUGUACUUGGUGUUACUGCGAAGGGGGGACGGAGAAGGCUAUGUUGGCCGGGCGACGGUUGUCCCGGUUUAAGCGUGUAGGCUGGUUUUCCAGGCAAAUCCGGAAAAUCAAGGCUGAGGCGUGAUGACGAGGCACUACGGUGCUGAAGCAACAAAUGCCCUGCUUCCAGGAAAAGCCUCUAAGCAUCAGGUAACAUCAAAUCGUACCCCAAACCGACACAGGUGGUCAGGUAGAGAAUACCAAGGCGCUUGAGAGAACUCGGGUGAAGGAACUAGGCAAAAUGGUGCCGUAACUUCGGGAGAAGGCACGCUGAUAUGUAGGUGAGGUCCCUCGCGGAUGGAGCUGAAAUCAGUCGAAGAUACCAGCUGGCUGCAACUGUUUAUUAAAAACACAGCACUGUGCAAACACGAAAGUGGACGUAUACGGUGUGACGCCUGCCCGGUGCCGGAAGGUUAAUUGAUGGGGUUAGCGGUAACGCGAAGCUCUUGAUCGAAGCCCCGGUAAACGGCGGCCGUAACUAUAACGGUCCUAAGGUAGCGAAAUUCCUUGUCGGGUAAGUUCCGACCUGCACGAAUGGCGUAAUGAUGGCCAGGCUGUCUCCACCCGAGACUCAGUGAAAUUGAACUCGCUGUGAAGAUGCAGUGUACCCGCGGCAAGACGGAAAGACCCCGUGAACCUUUACUAUAGCUUGACACUGAACAUUGAGCCUUGAUGUGUAGGAUAGGUGGGAGGCUUUGAAGUGUGGACGCCAGUCUGCAUGGAGCCGGCCUUGAAAUACCACCCUUUAAUGUUUGAUGUUCUAACGUUGGCCCCUGAUCGGGGUUGCGGACAGUGUCUGGUGGGUAGUUUGACUGGGGCGGUCUCCUCCUAAAGAGUAACGGAGGAGCACGAAGGUUGGCUAAUCCUGGUCGGACAUCAGGAGGUUAGUGCAAUGGCAUAAGCCAGCUUGACUGCGAGCGUGACGGCGCGAGCAGGUGCGAAAGCAGGUCAUAGUGAUCCGGUGGUUCUGAAUGGAAGGGCCAUCGCUCAACGGAUAAAAGGUACUCCGGGGAUAACAGGCUGAUACCGCCCAAGAGUUCAUAUCGACGGCGGUGUUUGGCACCUCGAUGUCGGCUCAUCACAUCCUGGGGCUGAAGUAGGUCCCAAGGGUAUGGCUGUUCGCCAUUUAAAGUGGUACGCGAGCUGGGUUUAGAACGUCGUGAGACAGUUCGGUCCCUAUCUGCCGUGGGCGCUGGAGAACUGAGGGGGGCUGCUCCUAGUACGAGAGGACCGGAGUGGACGCAUCACUGGUGUUCGGGUUGUCAUGCCAAUGGCACUGCCCGGUAGCUAAAUGCGGAAGAGAUAAGUGCUGAAAGCAUCUAAGCACGAAACUUGCCCCGAGAUGAGUUCUCCCUGACUCCUUGAGAGUCCUGAAGGAACGUUGAAGACGACGACGUUGAUAGGCCGGGUGUGUAAGCGCAGCGAUGCGUUGAGCUAACCGGUACUAAUGAACCGUGAGGCUUAACCUUACAACGCCGAAGCUGUU